AUACGUAGGGAGCGAGCGUUGUCCGGAUUUACUGGGUGUAAAGGGUGCGUAGGCGGGACUGCAAGUCAGCGGUGAAAUGCAGCGGCUCAACCGUUGAACUGCCGUUGAAACUGGGCGCCUUGGAUGCGGUCGAGGCCGGCGGAAUGCGUGGUGUAGCGGUGAAAUGCUUAGAUAUCACGCAGAACGCCAAUUGCGAAGGCAGCUGGCCGGGCCGCAAUCGACGCUGAGGCACGAAAGCGUGGGGAUC
Molecule: ribosomal RNA, 247 nt
Filed under: uncultured bacterium
Lineage: Bacteria
Description: partial 16S ribosomal RNA
Rfam family: Bacterial small subunit ribosomal RNA
Source: RNAcentral